This 1329-nucleotide long non-coding RNA is filed under the name Fukomys damarensis (Damara mole-rat). RNAcentral's name for it is "lncRNA (ENSFDAG00000024648.1)". Lineage: Eukaryota; Metazoa; Chordata; Mammalia; Rodentia; Bathyergidae. The record is from RNAcentral.
CAUGCUGUCUCACAAUCUCUGUAUUUUUCCCAUUUUAUAGAUAAGAAAACUGAGGCUCAGAGAUGCUGCCACUUGCUCAGGAUCACACAGCCAGUGGAUUAGGAAAUCCAGACUCAGACCCACAGGACCCCCCCAAGCUGCCCUACACAACUCCACAGUAGAGCAUGGCAGUGGUUCUCCUUGAGGAUAGAACCACCUGGAGAGUUUAGGGGACCCUGACCCAGACCGAUCUCUGGGUUGCGGACAAUGCAUCGAGGGCUUCAGGCUCCCAGCGGCAUCAAAGCUGAGUGUAUAUGAUGACAUCUAAACUCAGUGUGAAGGCAUUAGGCAGUGGAGCCUUCAAGAGGGGACCAGGUGAAUGAAAUUAGUUUCCUUAUCAAAGAGGCUCCGGAGAGUUGCCCUCUCACCAUGUGAGGACACAGUCCGAAGGAACAUCCCUAUGAGCUAGAAAGCAGGUUCUCACCAAUAUAGCACCUGCCUUGGUCUUGGUCUUCCCAGGCUCCAGAACGGGGAGAAGUGAAUUUUCAUUAUUUACCAGCCACCUAAGAUGGUAUUUUGUUACUGCAGGCAAAAUGGGCCAAGAUGGACAGGUGAAGUGGAAAAGGCUCCUUUCUUUAGGCCUGUGGAGUGGCCUUCUGGCUCUGCACCUCCACUUCAGCUUCUCAGGAUAUAAACAACCCACCUCGCCCACUUCACAAGGCAUGGGAAUCAAUGGAUGAAAACUCACUGUGUGAAUUCUAAAGGGCCCAGUGGGAUAACAGACCAGGCCCUGGGCAGCAAGGCCCAAGACCACUCUCUGAGAAGCACAUCAGGAGCUACUUCAGGGCUUAGCCUAAUAACUGCUUCAGAGUCGAGCGCUUGCUAAGUUUUCGAACAAUAACAGCCGAGCUGGAGGAGGCUCCAUGAAGGAAGAGGAGGCUUCAUGAAGGCUCCAUGAGACCGUAAUAGAGGCUACAGGCAUGGACGUUGGGCAGAACAUUAUGGUCCCCAUCUCCUAAGAACCUCCUGAACCCCCACCCAAAUGAAAGCUCUGCGUUGCAUUACACUCCAGGCCCCCAAGAUGUAAAGGCAGCCCUGGGAACUGAGCAAGCCAGGAAAGAUGGCCCCUGGACAGCAGAGACAACAUUGUUAGCAGAAGUGGGUCCCUAUUUCAACGAAAUGAAAACCACUCCACAUCUCAGUUCCCAGUUCACAAAGCAUGUUCACUUUUAUGAGUCUGUAUGUUGCUCCUGGCUUCCCAGAGAGAGAAGAAACCCGUGGCAAAUAUCCAUUUACCCAUUUGCGCGAAGAUACACCUGAGUAAACCAAUUACCCAGGUCACAGGUGGCU